This 491-nucleotide long non-coding RNA is filed under the name Pan troglodytes (chimpanzee). RNAcentral's name for it is "long non-coding RNA NONPTRT012977". The record is from RNAcentral. Lineage: Eukaryota; Metazoa; Chordata; Mammalia; Primates; Hominidae.
AGAGAAGAUGGUCAGGAGCAAAAAAGCAUGGGAGGCCUCUAAAAGCCAGAAAAGGCAAGAGUACAAAUAAUCCUUUACAGCCUUCAGAUAGAAUGCAGCCCUGAUGGCAGCUUGAUUUUAGCUCUUGUCAGAAUUCUGACCUGCUAAAAUGGAAAAAAACCAACCAACCAACGAACUGAGCCUGAAACUGGUAACACAGAUACGUACAGCAUCAUAUUUAAGUAACCAAUCGGAAUUAUUGCAGUGGAGAUGUUUUAUUGGAACCAACUUCUUCAAAGGAGUCAGGAAUUAUUUAUGAUAGAAACUACUGAAACAAUACUAAGGAGUUCAUAGGUUGCUGAGAAGGUAGCUUCCUGCCCUCUGCUUGAGGAACACGGAUGGAAGAAAGGAGAAGAUUUGGUCAACACAGCUCCUGAAAUGCUGAUUAAGCAUUAUGGGAUUUAAGGUUUCCUGGCCAAGUCUGAGCUAAAAUGUUAACACUCCUGAAGAAC